GCGUACUCUCAACAAAUUGAACAAGAUGUUCAGAAAUAUUCAAAGUCUUUAACGGAUAUGAGAACUACCAUGAGUUUUUUCCAAACAAAAGACAUGAAUGAGCUGUUAGAGUUCCACAAGAAAUUAGAAUCCAUUCUUGAACACUUGACUGAUGAGACACAGGGUUUUAUCAAGGUUUGAAGGAUUCCCUACAAAGAAGUUAGAAACAAUGAGGACAGCAGCAGCACUCGAAAUUAAAUCCAAUGAUCUUAGAACUACACAAUUGGAAAAUAGAGGCUCCCCUAUGUCCGUUCCUUGACAAGACUGAGCGUUAUUUCACCAAGAUCAAAAGGAGAGAUAGAUAAACUAGAGCAAACAAAAGAUGAAGAAACUAAGAAAUUUCAAAGUCAAAAGAUCCAUGACUUCAGUAUCUUCCCAGGCUGCAUGGAGCUGACACUAA
Molecule: long non-coding RNA, 439 nt
Organism: Rosa rugosa (rugosa rose)
Lineage: Eukaryota; Viridiplantae; Streptophyta; Magnoliopsida; Rosales; Rosaceae
Exons: 3
Source: RefSeq, a predicted model, not a curated record